Prosopis cineraria is the source of this 604-nucleotide long non-coding RNA. RefSeq lists it as uncharacterized. The record is from RefSeq and is a predicted model, not a curated record. The transcript has 3 exons. NCBI's taxonomy places the organism in Eukaryota, Viridiplantae, Streptophyta, Magnoliopsida, Fabales, Fabaceae.
UCGUCUUCUCCAGUAGCGUCGGCGUCUGCGCAGCAGAGGGAGAACCGAUCGCCAGUGCUGGAUUAAUUUCAGAUUAGCUUUCAUUAAAAGAUAUUUUAGUCGCUCAUCGCAUGGUGGUGGUGGUCAUCCAUAUUAUGACUUGGGCCAUCGUCACGGUCACUGUGUGGCAAAUUGUUGUCAUCAAUUUGAUCGUUCUUUUCAACCACCCUUCCAUGGCUUCAACCUUCAAGCCUUUUAUACUACGCCAUCAACCGUCUCUGACCCUGCUUGGUGUCUCAACGGUGGUGCCAACUAUCAUGUGACACUCGAUCCUACCCAACUUGCUCAGGUCAUGUCUGUAGGGAGCUUUAUGGCAGGGGAUGUAUCUACUAGAAAAUGAAUCUCAAUCACAACCACAAGCUUAUAUGGCAUCUUAUGUUCUUGAAGCACUUUUAUCUGAGUACUUGAAUUGACAUUACAAGCUUGGUCAUCCUAGUGAUAGAAUUCUAAAGAAAAUUUUAUAAUAAAUGUAAUGCAGGAGUUGUUAUUAAUGAUACACAUGUUUGUGAAGCUUGUCAAUGUGGCAAAUCUAAGAUGCUCCCUUUUCCUUCAUCAACUUCACAUG